AUUGAACGCUGGCGGCAGGCUUAACACAUGCAAGUCGAGCGAGCGGCGGACGGGUGAGUAAUGUCUGGGAAACUGCCUGAUGGAGGGGGAUAACUACUGGAAACGGUAGCUAAUACCGCAUACCAUCAGAUGUGCCCAGAUGGGAUUAGCUAGUAGGUGGGGUAAUGGCUCACCUAGGCGACGAUCCCUAGCUGGUCUGUGAGGAUGACAAGCAACACGGGAACUGAUGCACGGUACGGACUCCUACGUGAGGCAGCAUUGGGGAAUAAUGCACAAUGGGCGCAAGCCUGAUGCAGCCAAGCCGAGUGUGUGAAGAAGUCCUUCGGGUUGUAAAGCACUUUCAGCGAGGAGGCGUUACUCGAAGAAGAAGCACCGGCUAACUCCGUGCCAGCAGCCGAGGUAAUAC
RNAcentral lists this ribosomal RNA (406 nucleotides) under uncultured bacterium. RNAcentral's name for it is "partial 16S ribosomal RNA". It matches the Rfam family "Bacterial small subunit ribosomal RNA", at positions 30 to 526 of the family's 1533-position model. The record is from RNAcentral.